GUUGCUACAAUAUUUCCAGCUGUGUAUACCUCCUGGGAUCAUAAUAGAAAUGAGCCUCUGAAGCAUCUGACUGAAGAAAGCCCCUAUGUUGACUGUCCAGCUGACUGUCUUCCCGACUGCUGUACCACACGAUAGGGGCCAGGCGAUGGUACUGCCUUUGCAAACUAAAUGUAGUUCCUCAAGGUGAAGCUGGUGGCGAGUUCAGAGUUAACUUUUCAAAUGGUCAGGCUUAUACAGAAUAACCUUUGUAAAAGUGAACUAUGAUCAGAUAGUGAUAAGGUACAUGUGCAUUUGGAAUGCCACUGCUUUUGGAACUUGUUUCAGUUUUUAUCAUCAUACAAGGUUAAUUGUCUAAUGAAUUAGAUUUUAUCACAGUGUAUUUCGGUCCUAAUCUGGAACAAUAAAAGUCUAUUAAACAGCAAA
Long non-coding RNA from Mandrillus leucophaeus (drill), 423 nucleotides. RefSeq lists it as uncharacterized. NCBI's taxonomy places the organism in Eukaryota, Metazoa, Chordata, Mammalia, Primates, Cercopithecidae. The record is from RefSeq and is a predicted model, not a curated record. The transcript has 2 exons.